This 1487-nucleotide ribosomal RNA is filed under the name Candidatus Nealsoniibacteriota bacterium. RNAcentral describes it as "bacterial SSU rRNA". It matches the Rfam family "Bacterial small subunit ribosomal RNA". The record is from RNAcentral. Lineage: Bacteria; Candidatus Nealsoniibacteriota.
AGAGUUUGAUCCUGGCUCAGGAUGAACGCUGGCGGCGUGGUUUAGGCAUGCAAGUCAAGGGGUCUCGCUUUUGCGAGAUAACCGGCGGACGGGUUAGUAACACGUGGGAACAUACCCUUAAGACGGGGAUAAUUCUGAGAAAUCAGAGCUAAUACCCGAUAGUCUCUUUUGAUGAAAAUCUUAAGAGUAAAUGGAAUUUUUUCGCUUAAGGAUUGGCCUGCGGCUUAUCAGCUAGAAGGUACGGUAAUGGCGUACCUUGGCUAUGACGAGUAGGCGGGGUUAGCGCCUGAUCGCCAACAAGGGCACUGAGACACGGGCCCUACUCCUACGGGAGGCAGCAGUCGAGAAUCAUCCACAAUGGGGGAAACCCUGAUGGUGCGACGCCGCGUGUUUGAAGAAGCCCUACGGGGUGUAAAAAACUUUUCUGGAGGAAGAAGAUAUGUUCUUUCGAGGGCAUAUUUGACUGUACUUCAGGAAUAAGGGGGUGCCAAUCCUGUGCCAGCAGCAGCGGUAAUACAGGACCCCCAAGCGUUAUCCGGUUUCAUUGGGCGUAAAGCGUUUGUAGGCGGUUUAUUAAGUUUCCUGUUAAAUUUUCAGAGCUCAACUCUGAAAGUGCGGGAAAAACUGAUAGACUAGAGGGAGUUAGAGGCUGGCGGAACGGUCGGUGUAGGGGUGGAAUCCGUUGAUAUCGACCGGAACACCAAAAGCGAAGGCAGCCAGCUGGGGCAACCCUGACGCUGAGAAACGAAGGCAUGGGGAGAGAAGAGGAUUAGAUACCCUCGUAUUCCAUGCUGUAAACGAUGGACACUAGCUAUUUGAAGUGUCGACCCUUCAAGUGGCGAAGCUAACGCAUUAAGUGUCCCGCCUGGGAAGUACGGCCGCAAGGCUAAAACUCAAAGGAAUAGACGGGGACUCACAAAAGCGGUGGAUCAUGUGGCUUAAUUCGACGCUACGCGAGGGAUCUUACCAGGGCUUGACAUCUAGACGAAAGUCGCUGGAAACAGUGACCUUUCUUCGGAACGGCUAGACAGGUGUUGCAUGGCUGUCGUCAGUAUGUGCCGUGAGGUGCACGCUUAAAUGCGGUAACAUACGCAACCCCUAUCCUAUGUUUUAUAUGUCAUGGGAGACUGCCCGGGACAACUGGGAGGAAGGUGGGGAUGACGCCAAGUCAGCAUGACCCUUAUGCUCUGGGCUGCACACAUGAUACAAUGGUCGGUACAACGGGUCGCGAAAGCGUAAGCUGGAGCUAAUCCUUAAAGCCGGCCCAAGUUCGGAUUGAGGUCUGGAACUCGACCUCAUGAAGUCGGAAUCGCUAGUAAUCGCCAAUCAUCAACGUGGCGAUGAAUACUUCCCUGAGUCUUGUACUCACUGCCCAUCACGCCAAGCGAGCUGGAAAUACCCGAAGCAUUGCCUUAUGGCAGUACCACGGUAGAGUCAGUGAGAGGGGCGAAGUUGUAACAAGGCACCGGUAGCGGAAGCUGUCGGUG